AGUUUGAUCAUGGCUCAGAGUGAACGCUGGCGGCAGGCCUAAUACAUGCAAGUCGAACGGCAGCACAGCAGAGCUUGCUCUGUGGGUGGCGAGUGGCGGACGGGUGAGGAAUACGUGGGAAUCUGCCCAGUCGUGGGGGGAUAAACGUAGGGAAACUUACGCUAAUACCGCAUGCGCCCUUCGGGGGAAAGCCGGGGACCUUCGGGCCUGGCGCGAUUGGAUGAGCCCACGUCGGAUUAGCUAGUUGGCGGGGUAAAGGCCCACCAAGGCGACGAUCCGUAGCUGGUCUGAGAGGAUGAUCAGCCACACUGGAACUGAGACACGGUCCAGACUCCUACGGGAGGCAGCAGUAGGGAAUAUUGGACAAUGGGCGCAAGCCUGAUCCAGCCAUGCCGCGUGAGUGAAGAAGGCCCUCGGGUUGUAAAGCUCUUUUGUCCGGAAAGAAAAGCGCCGGGUUAAUACCCUGGUGUCCUGACGGUACCGGAAGAAUAAGCACCGGCUAACUUCGUG
RNAcentral lists this ribosomal RNA (510 nucleotides) under uncultured bacterium. RNAcentral describes it as "bacterial SSU rRNA". It matches the Rfam family "Bacterial small subunit ribosomal RNA", at positions 10 to 507 of the family's 1533-position model. The record is from RNAcentral.